AACGAACGCUGGCGGCAUGCCUAACACAUGCAAGUCGAACGGGACCUUCGGGUCUGGUGGCGCACGGGUGCGUAACGCGGGGGAACCUGCCCUUAGGUUCGGCAUAACUCCCCGGAAGGGGUGCUGAUACCGGAUAAUGUCUUCGGACCGAAGAUUUGUCGCCUUUGGGGGGGCCCGCGUUGGCUUGGCUAGAUGGGAGGGUAAAUGCCUAUCACGGUGACGAUCCAUAGCUGGUCUCAGAGGCUGGGCAGCCACACUGGGACUGGGACACGGCCCAGACUCUUACGGGAGGCAGCAGUGGGGAAUAUUGCACAAUGGGCGAAAGCCUGAUGCAGCAAUGCCGCGUGAGUGAUGAAGGCCUUAGGGUUGUAAAGCUCUUUUACCCGGGAUGAUAAUGACGGUACCGGGAGAAUAAGCUCCGGCUAACUCCGUG
RNAcentral lists this ribosomal RNA (433 nucleotides) under uncultured bacterium. RNAcentral describes it as "partial 16S ribosomal RNA". It matches the Rfam family "Bacterial small subunit ribosomal RNA", at positions 29 to 507 of the family's 1533-position model. The record is from RNAcentral.